CCUACGGGAGGCAGCAGUAGGGAAUAUUGCUCAAUGGGGGAAACCCUGAAGCAGCAACGCCGCGUGGAGGAUGAAGGUUUUCGGAGUGGAAACGCCUGUUGGUAGAGAAGAGAAUGACGGUAUCUAACGAAUAAGCACCGGCUAACUCCGUGCCAGCAGCCGCGGUAAUACGGAGGGUGCAAGCGUUACUCGGAAUCACUGGGCGUAAAGGGCGCGUAGGCGGGAUAGCAAGUCAGAUGUGAAAUCCUAUGGCUUAACCAUAGAACUGCAUUUGAAACUGUUAUUCUAGAGUAUGGGAGAGGUAGGUGGAAUUCUUGGUGUAGAGGUGAAAUCCGUAGAGAUCAAGAGGAAUACUCAUUGCGAAGGCGACCUGCUAGAACAUAACUGACGCUGAUGCGCGAAAGCGUGGGGAGCAAACAGGAUUAGAUACCCCAGUAGUC
This 440-nucleotide ribosomal RNA is filed under the name uncultured bacterium. RNAcentral's name for it is "partial 16S ribosomal RNA". It matches the Rfam family "Bacterial small subunit ribosomal RNA", at positions 338 to 795 of the family's 1533-position model. The record is from RNAcentral.